GUCCCAGUAGCGCAAUGGAUAGCGCAUUACACUUCUAAUCCAAAAGUCGUGGGUCCGAAUCCCACCUGGGAUG
Molecule: transfer RNA, 73 nt
Filed under: Trichonephila clavata
Lineage: Eukaryota; Metazoa; Arthropoda; Arachnida; Araneae; Nephilidae
Rfam family: tRNA
About the family: Transfer RNA (tRNA) molecules are approximately 80 nucleotides in length. Their secondary structure includes four short double-helical elements and three loops (D, anti-codon, and T loops).
Source: Rfam by way of RNAcentral